CAUAAUUUUUUUUCAAAGAACAAGAAUAUUUUUAUCAUACAAAAUUUUAAAUAAAAAAAACAGAACUGCGAAUAUUAAAUGUGCAUUGGAAAGUGAUAGCUAUAUAUACUAAUCAUACAAAGUGGUGCAUUUUACAUCGGAUUUUCUAUACCAUCCGUGAUGCAUAAAGAAGUUCUCAUUAGAAGAUAUAGUUAGAACAGAAUGCCUGUAUUUUUUCAAAGAAAGAAUGCAG
RNAcentral lists this long non-coding RNA (232 nucleotides) under Elaeis guineensis (African oil palm). Its description in RNAcentral is "long non-coding RNA (EGUI_LNC038634)". Lineage: Eukaryota; Viridiplantae; Streptophyta; Magnoliopsida; Arecales; Arecaceae. The record is from RNAcentral.